AUUGAACGCUGGCGGCAGGCCUAACACAUGCAAGUCGAGCGGAUGAAGGGAGCUUGCUCCUGGAUUCAGCGGCGGACGGGUGAGUAAUGCCUAGGAAUCUGCCUGGUAGUGGGGGAUAACGUCCGGAAACGGGCGCUAAUACCGCAUACGUCCUGAGGGAGAAAGUGGGGGAUCUUCGGACCUCACGCUAUCAGAUGAGCCUAGGUCGGAUUAGCUAGUUGGUGGGGUAAAGGCCUACCAAGGCGACGAUCCGUAACUGGUCUGAGAGGAUGAUCAGUCACACUGGAACUGAGACACGGUCCAGACUCUUACGGGAGGCAGCAGUGGGGAAUAUUGGACAAUGGGCGAAAGCCUGAUCCAGCCAUGCCGCGUGUGUGAAGAAGGUCUUCGGAUUGUAAAGCACUUUAAGUUGGGAGGAAGGGCAGUAAGUUAAUACCUUGCUGUUUUGACGCUACCAACAGAAUAAGCACCGGCUAACUUCGUG
This 484-nucleotide ribosomal RNA is filed under the name uncultured bacterium. RNAcentral's name for it is "partial 16S ribosomal RNA". It matches the Rfam family "Bacterial small subunit ribosomal RNA", at positions 30 to 507 of the family's 1533-position model. The record is from RNAcentral.